RNAcentral lists this ribosomal RNA (2931 nucleotides) under Gammaproteobacteria bacterium. RNAcentral's name for it is "23S ribosomal RNA". It matches the Rfam family "Bacterial large subunit ribosomal RNA". The record is from RNAcentral. Lineage: Bacteria; Pseudomonadati; Pseudomonadota; Gammaproteobacteria.
GUUAUGCGGUCAAGCGACGAAGCGUGUGUGGUGGAUGCCUUGGCAGCCAGAGGCGAUGAAGGACGUUGUAGACUGCGAUAAGCUUCGGGGAGCCGUCAAACAGGCUUUGAUCCGGAGAUUUCCGAAUGGGGAAACCCGGCCCUUCGGGGUCAUUGCACAUUGAAUUCAUAGAUGUGCAAGGCGAACGCGGUGAACUGAAACAUCUAAGUAGCCGCAGGAAAAGAAAUCAACCGAGAUUCCCCAAGUAGUGGCGAGCGAAAGGGGAAUAGCCCUGAAGUGGUGCAGAAUUUAGCGGAACAGUCUGGGAAGGCUGACGAUAGAGGGUGACAGUCCCGUACGCGAAAAAUUCCGCAUCAUGAUAUCGAGUAGGUCGGGACACGUGAAAUCCUGACUGAAUAUGGGGGGACCAUCCUCCAAGGCUAAAUACUCCUGGCUGACCGAUAGUGAACGAGUACCGUGAGGGAAAGGUGAAAAGAACCCCGGUGAGGGGAGUGAAACAGAAUCUGAAACCGCAUACGUACAAGCGGUCGGAGCCUGGCGCAAGCCGGGUGACGGCGUACCUUUUGUAUAAUGGGUCAGCGAGUUAUUGCCGGUAGCAAGGUUAACCGUAUAGGGGAGCCGUAGGGAAACCGAGUCUGAACAGGGCGCUCAGUUGCUGGUGAUAGACCCGAAACCGGACGAUCUAGCCAUGGCCAGGCUGAAGGUUGAGUAACAUCAACUGGAGGGCCGCACCCACCUAUGUUGAAAAAUGGGGGGAUGAGCUGUGGCUAGGAGUGAAAGGCUAAUCAAGUCCGGAGAUAGCUGGUUCUCCUCGAAAGCUAUUUAGGUAGCGCCUCAUACAUGACUGCCGGGGGUAAAGCACUGUUUCGGCUAGGGGGUCAUCCCGACUUACCAAACCGAUGCAAACUCUGAAUACCGGCAAGUUCGAGUAUGGGAGACAGACGGCGGGUGCUAACGUCCGUCGUCGAAAGGGAAACAACCCAGACCGCCAGCUAAGGUCCCUAAUAUCAGUUAAGUGGGAAACGAUGUGGGAAGGCACAAACAGCUAGGAGGUUGGCUUAGAAGCAGCCAUCCUUUAAAGAAAGCGUAAUAGCUCACUAGUCGAGUCGGCCUGCGCGGAAGAUGUAACGGGGCUAAACUGAUAACCGAAGCUGCGGGUUCGCGAACACCCUCGGGUGAUUGCGGACGGUAGAGGAGCGUUCUGUAAGCGGGUGAAGCCAGGUCGGGAGGCCUGGUGGACGUAUCAGAAGUGCGAAUGCUGACAUGAGUAACGAUUAGGGGGGUGAAAAGCCCCCCCGCCGAAAGAUCGAGGUUUCCUGCCCAACGUUAAUCGGGGCAGGGUGAGUCGGCCCCUAAGGCGAGGGCGAAAGCCGUAGUCGAUGGGAAACCGGUUAAAAUUCCGGUACCCGGCUUUGCUGCGAUGGAGGGACGGAGUAGGCUAGACCGGCACGGUGUUGGUUAUCCGUGUUCAAGCGUGUAGGUAGGAAGCUUAGGGAAAUCCGGGCUUCCGUUAAUCUGAGGCGUGAUGACGAUCUUCCCGGGCAACCGGAAAGAGAAGUGGUUGAGGCCAUGCUUCCAGGAAAAUCUUCUAAGCACCAGGCAAAGUUGGACCGUACUUAAACCGACACAGGUGAUCAGGUAGAGGAUACCAAGGCGUUGAGAUAACUUGGGUGAAGGAACUAGGCAAAAUGGUACCGUAACUUCGGGAGAAGGUACGCUCCCUCCGGUGAUCGGACUUGCUCCGUAAGCCGAGGGGAGUCGCAGUGACCAGGUGGCUGCAACUGUUUAUUAAAAACACAGCACUCUGCAAACUCGAGAGAGGAAGUAUAGGGUGUGACGCCUGCCCGGUGCCGGAAGGUUAAUUGAUGGGGUUAGCGUAAGCGAAGCUCCUGAUCGAAGCCCCGGUAAACGGCGGCCGUAACUAUAACGGUCCUAAGGUAGCGAAAUUCCUUGUCGGGUAAGUUCCGACCUGCACGAAUGGCGUAAUGAUGGCCACACUGUCUCCACCCAAGGCUCAGUGAAAUUGAAGUUGCUGUUAAGAUGCAGUGUACCCGCGGCUAGACGGAAAGACCCCGUGAACCUUUACUAUAGCUUCACACUGGACUUUGACUGUACUUGUGUAGGAUAGGUGGGAGACUGUGAAAGCAUCGCGCCAGCGUUGCCGGAGUCAACCUUGAAAUACCACCCUGGUGCUGUUGAGGUUCUAACCCAGGUCCCUUGACGGGAUCGGGGACAGUGUGUGGUGGGUAGUUUGACUGGGGCGGUCUCCUCCUAAAGAGUAACGGAGGAGCACGAAGGUACCCUAAGGGCGGUUGGAAAUCGUCUGUAUUGUGUAAUGGCGUAAGGGUGCUUGACUGCGAGAGUGACGAUUCGAGCAGGAGCGAAAGCUGGUCAUAGUGAUCCGGUGGUUCUGUAUGGAAGGGCCAUCGCUCAACGGAUAAAAGGUACUCCGGGGAUAACAGGCUGAUACCGCCCAAGAGUUCACAUCGACGGCGGUGUUUGGCACCUCGAUGUCGGCUCAUCACAUCCUGGGGCUGAAGCGGGUCCCAAGGGUAUGGCUGUUCGCCAUUUAAAGUGGUACGCGAGCUGGGUUUAGAACGUCGUGAGACAGUUCGGUCCCUAUCUGCCGUGGGCGCAGGAGAUUUGCGAAGAGUUGCCCCUAGUACGAGAGGACCGGGGUGAACGAACCGCUGGUGUUCGGGUUGUCUCGCCAGAGGCAUUGCCCGGUAGCUAUGUUCGGACGGGAUAACCGCUGAAGGCAUCUAAGCGGGAAGCCUCCUUCAAGACUAGAUCUCCCUGAGAGCCCAAGCUUCGGCUUAGUCUCUCCUGAAGUGCCGUUGAAGACGACGACGUUGAUAGGCCGGGUGUGUAAGCGCUGUGAGGCGUUGAGCUAACCGGUACUAAUUGCACGUGAGGCUUGAUCGCAUAACC